GUUUCCCUGAGGGCUUCAAAGUUGGUCUAAAAUUAUGUAUCAUCGUAAUUUUAUUAGGAUCCUUUAGUAAUAAGGUCCACCAACGAUCUUGCUAAGAUCAGUUACACUUUAUAAUUAUUUUUAUCUCUCUAAGGCUUGGUACUUUAAUCUCCCAAAGUUUUUUUAUGAUCAUGCUUAUAUGGAUAGCCUUAGAUGAUUCAUG
Molecule: long non-coding RNA, 202 nt
Filed under: Carica papaya (papaya)
Lineage: Eukaryota; Viridiplantae; Streptophyta; Magnoliopsida; Brassicales; Caricaceae
Description: long non-coding RNA (CPAP_LNC000164)
Source: RNAcentral